GUCCACAUGUUGUCCUGAGAUUGGCUGUUGUGGAAUCAAAAUAGUGGUUUUAAGAGCCAGUGAGAAGGUGACACGGGGUGUGAGGGAAUCUGCAAAAGCUGCAGACCGUUUUGCCAGCUGCAGGUGGGGCUGGAGGUGGAGUGCCUUUCAGGUGGUGUUUUUCCAUUAGAGAGAGGGCGGCAGAGAUCUUGAGGAAGAGAGAGAGCUUUGGUUUGGUUUUUUGGGGGGGGGAGAUAUUUUUGGAAAGAAGAACCAGAGAAAAAAAAAAGUUGAGGGGGAGAGCUAGGGGGAAAAAGGUAUUCGUUGAGCGAGAGAGGAGGAAGCAAGCUGGGGAGGGGAACCAGAGUGUUGGGAUGAAAAAGAGAUGAGGCGGUUUUGAGUUGAAAAGAUUACCAAGAACCAGAGAAAAAGGGCCUCCAGGUUUUUCCCGGGGGUAAGUUUUCCACUAUGUUCUUGUUUCUUUCUUUUUACUGUUCAUAUAUUGAUAUUGAGAUGCAUUGUUGUUGAUCUUUGGAUGGGUUAUGCUCUGUUCUUCAUAGUUGACUGCUCCUCUUUUGCUUCUGUUUAUGACUGGAAAUUGAUUUAACUUUGUUUUAUCUCCUCUGUGGCAUUUUAAUGAGGAAAGACCUUUUAAUUCACUCAUCCGCAAGCCCACUUACUAAGAGGUGAAGUAUAGUUCUUCAUGCUUCAUCCUAUUUGCUUCCUCCAUUGCUCUGUUUUUCCAUUUUUUUUUCCUCUCUGCUUUUGGUGUUUGGACUUUCUUGGGUAUGGAGCCGUAAUGGGGAGUGAACUGUGAGAAGAGAGGGCUGUGAGUUAGCUUACUGCUCCAGAUCCGUGAUCCAGUGGACGAGAUGUAUACAUGUGUUGUAUUAGUUGAUGUUUUGGCUCCCAUACUUGAGGUUCCUCCCGUGAACGAAGGUCCCAGAAAUGGAGUUUGACUUCUUGUAAUUGCUAAAAUAGUUGGAGCUAUGCAUCGGUUCAAAUGAAGCAGGAGUUUGUUAACCAGACUGUGUUCAUGGAUGCUCUGUUUUGGACCUCAGUGAGAAUGAAAUUGGUUUGAUUCUAUCCUUGUGGAUCUAAAGGCGAUUAAAAGGAUCCAAGGUGGUGAGCAGGGAACACUUGAGGCUGGUUUUGUUCUUGUCUCAGCUGGCGUCCGCGCUAUUGAUGAUGUAAUUCCAGGUUCUAUGUUAACUCACAAGGCAGAAGAGGGAGGCAGAGAUCUUUCCUGAGGGGAAGCUUGAAGAAAGAAAUCUGAGGCGACGGAGCAGAGAGAGGAAGCUGAGGGAAGACAUCUAGUGCAUUUUCAGGGGGUUUCUGGGAAAGUUUAAUUUGGUUUAAUAGCAUCAGCUGUGGAAAGAAGCCAAGGAUUUUGAGGGAUUAUUUCCAAUUGUCAAUGUGGAUGAUGACCAUUCUCAGAGUCAUUUCUGAGUUGGAUGGAUACGGCUGUAUCGAAUGUGGACUCAAGAUUCUGGAGUGCAGUAUGGCAAUCCGAUUCAUUGUUGGCUUCUAGAGUUGAGAAAUUCAGACCCAUGGUCUUCAUGGCAGGACAUUUGGUUUCAAUGUCGGACUGGUGCAGUCCCUUGCAUUGGUUAUAUGCAGGCGCAUGUAUUUAUGGAGUCCGGUGGUUGUUGUCGGAAAUUGUUCCUGGAGAGGAUAAAGGUCAGUGAUGCCUCCUAAAGUGGUGUUCACUCAAGUUAUUGAAGUUCCUGUGCCUUUUAAAAUGCAGAUACUCAAGUAAUGCCUAUGAUGUCCAUCAACCUCCCUGAAAUUCCAUAAGAAGCAUUGGUGGAGAUCUCGUUUUGAUUAUGCAGUUUAAAGUGGUGGUCCUUGAGAUUUCUAGUCAACUGUUAGAAUCCGAUGUUUGUGGGAGAGAAGAGAAGGGUUUAGUUAUGCAUCUUCCAACUACAGCUUAUUUAUAUGCUUCACUAACAGCUGAGAUUACCCCCCAUUCUUCCGAGGUUAAAAUGGCCAGUUCGGAGUGGCUUUUGUGGGUCAUUCGAAGAGAAAACUGGAAUUUCUAAGAUCGGAAAUGGCUGCUGCUGUAAGGUAACUUAUUGCAAGGAUGAGGAGUUUGGGAUGGUUGUGAGAGGAGAAGACUCCUAAACUGAUGGUGCAGCUCGAUCCAAGUUUUAUGGAUGCUAAAUGCAUUCAGAUUUUGUUUUGAUGGUAAGACUUGCCAAGCCGAACAGGGGAAUAUAUUGAAAGAUCAGACGAAACUUUGGCUAACCAAAUCGCAGAAUAUCCAAAUGGCUAUGAUAUAUGGACUAAAGAGAGUCCUGUGAAAUGGAAAUCAGGGCAUCAUGUUGAGAAUCUUGAACCACAAUUCAAUUCUGAUGGUCUCACCUUCCUGCGCAAACUAAGCAUGGUUCCGUUUCAUCCUGCAUUGGGUUGAUUUCAGAUUGAGAGAGGGGUGAAAAUGGCAUUAGCGGACUUUUUUAUGGUCCUCAUUAUUUUUCCACAUCUCACCGUCUACCCACCCUAUCCUCUAAUAUCUCAUAUAAUGGUCACCUCUGUUAUGUCCUAUACCCAUCAACUAUGCCUCAUACCACCAUGCACCAUGUCAUUCCUCACCCUACAUGAUCCUUGUCUCCAUUCCCAUGUAAAUAUUCCACUAAUCAUCUCCCCAUUCUCCAUACUUUCCACUUACAAUACCCAUGCCUCAUGACACCCUGCACAUGACCAUACUUCAUCCUACCACCUUUUCUCUCACUACACCACGGGUAUGCCCACUUACCCUCUCAUUCUAACAUCUUUUCUACUCCACUCCUACUAACCCAUUCCUUUGUCAUGACGUCAAUGCCCAUUCACCAACUGUCUUACAUCCAUAGCCAUCAAACCUCUCUCAAGUCCACCCCACACCACUUCAUGCCCACCACUUGAAGUUCACCUAUCACCAUACCCACGGGCAUGGGACUCAUACAUACCCAUUGUCAACAGUCCACUCCCCCACCAUAUUUAUUCACCUUUCUCUCUAAGCCUAUUUACACUCCUUAUCACCUCCUCUCACCACCUUGCUAUUAUGCCCCAUGUCUACACCUUGCACACCCAUCAAACUCUUCAAACCUAUAUUCAAAAAUCACCAAUCCACGUGCAUGGGACUCAUGCAAACCCUUCUCUCAUCUUAUCCAUCUUCAUUCUUCCCACAGCACCUGCCCAUGGCCACUCAUCACCUUUUCUCUUUCAUCACCACCCUCACACGCCCGUUCUCUCUCAUUAACUUUCAUACCCAUUUCCUCUAUUUCUCUCAUGCCCAUAGCUGAUUCCACUCAUCAUUCUCCUCCUAAACCCACUAAAUCCAUCAGUCUCAUCACCCUUCGCGCUCCCUAUAUCCACCGCCAAUUGACCAUUCCGUUCUCAUACCCAUAACUUCUCAUUCAUUAUCUUUCUGUUCACCUCACCAAAGGAAUAUUGCUUCUUUAUCUCUCAUGCCUUUCUCUCUCUCACUCUCAUGCGCCUUCAUCCCCCACGUGGCUCAUCCAAAAUUCAACAUUUUAGAAGAAUUCGCUUAGGAUACCAUUCCCCUCGUCCUUGGGUCUCUUCCGAAGCUUGAUGCGUGCUAAUCCAGUUUUGAUGAAACUGAUUGUUGAUUCAGUAUUCACUCAGUAAUAGGAGUGGCAGCCGCGACCUGGAAUCCUUUCAUUCAUGCACACCUGAUAGAGUCAUACUCCCAUGCGCACUCUGCGGCUCAAUAUAUGCAGUCCUAGGAAAACUGAUUUUGGAGCAGUGGACCACCCAAGAGUGAAGAUCUCAUCAUAGAUCCAUCCCAGAAUCUCCGUGUGUGGGUUAUAUCUGAAGAUUGCUCUUCUCUGUGCUCUACAUGGUGAGAAGUGCCAAGCUUCCUUUGAUCCUAUCAGCAACAGAGUUCAGAUUUUCAGGGGUUUCAUCAGGUUUGAAUGGACCAAAUGCACCAGAAAUGCUUGGGAUACAGAUGAAUUCUCUUCAUGUGAAAGUCUCUAUGUUGUUGCUGAUUGUGGCCAGCAUGUCCCUCGAGAGUUACGAACAUCACUCGUGCUUGCGUCUGAAUGCUGAAUCCUGUUAAAAACGUAUUGAAUCCAGCAUGAAGUGGGUAAACCGUGGUAUUGCAUAAAUCAGACAACGGAUCAGGUUUAUUCCUUUAUGUCAGUAUGCAUAGUCACUCCCAAUGACUACUCAGUAGCUACACGCGGAAGAGUGAGUAGGGUCCCACAAUGCUAUUUGCCAGACCAAAUGACUAUUCUAACACCUCAUCCCAUCACAUGGGCUGCUUUGACCUUGGAAUUUUUGUGGAAAUGAACCAACGUUCUAGGAAGUGCCUUGCGGAGAAGAUGCAGCUGAGAUACCAGUGAAGACUGAUGGUUGUUGACGUGUAAAACCUGAGAAUGAAUAUGGGAUUCUAGCAUAGUGAUGCCAGGCUGAUGACUGCAAGAAAGGUUCAAAGACCCUGAUUAUCAAGUUAUCUUUAUAGCAAGUAUAACCUCAUGAUGCCAUUAUCUGGUCAAUCCAUAAAGUUUUUGCUACAUGGAGGUUUGGGGUACUAAGUGAGUUGAAGAUCAAGUCUACAUGGCCGAGAUGUUGAUGCCAGAGAAGGUUCCAGUGAUGUUAGCAGCAGAUCGAGUAAUUCAUAUGUUCAUGUUUGGGGAAGGGUAUUAGAGACAUAUGGGAAAUUGCAAGAGAUCAUCUUCAGAGGCAGAGAUAGAAUAAUGUGCAGUCAGUGUUCAAGGUGCCCCAAGUUUGCAUUCCUAGUCUGCAUGGCUUGUUUAGUCAUCCCUAUGCCACGUAUCACCUCCCAUUCCAUCAAUCUUUUGGCUUAAAAAAUAAUUUCUGACAUCUUUUCUUGCAAAUAACUUUUUAAACAUCGAUUUUCAAAUAAUUUAAAUAUUUUCCAUCUUUCAUCCUUAGGUUUUCUUUAGGUUCCAAAAUCCCAUUUUUUUUAAUAAAACUUUGUUGUCAUCUUUCCUUCCAGCAAACAAUUUUCACACCUCCUUCGUUUUAAAAUGUUUUAAAAUAAAUAUGAAUUUAAAUUCCGUAAUUCCAAAUAAUGGAAUUUAUGGAAUUAAUUCAUGCAAAAAUAAAUGGGCUUUGGUGGGGGCCCAACAUCAAAUAAAUUUUCUUUAAAAUAAAAAUGAAUUUUGAGUGGAGUGCCAUGCGUGCCUUUGAUGAUUUUGUACUCGAUUUAGUGAUAUGUGAGCUAUGUUUAUGCUCUUUAUUUUGCACUAACCCUCUCUUGAUAGCGCAUAGUGGUUCGCUGCUCAGGUACAUACUCAUUCCUACUCUUUUUAGUCUAUGUGCAUUUUCUGACUCCCGUAUGUGCAUGAUUUGAUUUGAGUAUUCAUUGAUUUUCUCAUUGAUUGCCAUGUCAGCUUCAUUUCAUUAGUAGAGACCCGACUUUAGGGACUUAAAGGGGUGCUACGGUCUUCACCGUACCUUCCCGAUAAGUAACCUGACCCCCGAACCCGAUCCGGUUUUUCACAUACCACCUUUUCCAAAAUAAGGAGUCACACUUAGGGUUUUUCUUUCUUAUUUUGUUUACCCUUUAAAAAUAAAACAAAAAUAAGUGGCGACUCCAAGUCAUUUUCAAAUAAUCAAUAAAAAUCAAUUUUUCAAAUAAUAAAAACGAGUUUCGCCAUCGAGUGGGAAACGCAUUCGAGCGAUCGAAAUGCGGGGUCCACAGUUACAUUUUCUUUUCUUUGCUUUUUUUUUUUGGUAUCGUUUUCCAAAUUAAAAAAGAAAAGAAAAGAAAAUCAAAUUCAAAGUUUGUUAUCAUAAUCUAACAUGAUGAUGUGGCAAUUUGGUGUAUUUUACCAUAUAAGUAAUCAUUGCUACUCAUAGAUGUCUUUUAGACUCAUUAAUUGGUUUUUUAAAACAAAUAACUUUGCCUCCCUCUAUCUCUUUGUGGUAAUUGGUUUUAGACUCGUUGAUUAUCCGUUUUCCACGAGUCAGCUCAUCUUUGAUUACGGGUAAGGUUCUGCUGCUAUCAGAAUGCGUUUUGAUAGUCUUUUUAACUGCUCUUGAUUGAAGUACUGAUGUGAAUUUUGGAGAAGAAGAUUAUCCAAUUCAUGAUGCAUAUGUAGGUGAAGCUCCUGCUGGGAGUCAUGUGGAUGUGGUUUCUAUCUACUGUAUUUCAUGUGGAAGCUGGCUUGGAUUGGGCAGUACUUGCCACCCUGUAAUCCGUGAAGGCCAAUUUGUACUCGCAUGUGGUGGUGGUGUAAGGAUAGAAGUUGUAUUUCCUAUGUAAAUUUCUCUAUACAUUUGUUAAAAUUUAUUCCAAUUAACUAUAUAUUUCUAUUAUCUCUUUCU
This is a long non-coding RNA of Vitis vinifera (wine grape), 6276 nucleotides long. RefSeq lists it as uncharacterized. The record is from RefSeq and is a predicted model, not a curated record. The transcript is spliced from 2 exons. NCBI's taxonomy places the organism in Eukaryota, Viridiplantae, Streptophyta, Magnoliopsida, Vitales, Vitaceae.